RNAcentral lists this long non-coding RNA (450 nucleotides) under Gadus morhua (Atlantic cod). RNAcentral describes it as "lncRNA (ENSGMOG00000031645.1)". The record is from RNAcentral. Lineage: Eukaryota; Metazoa; Chordata; Actinopteri; Gadiformes; Gadidae.
AGAGUGGAUACUCCUGGGAGAUCUACAAGAGCAGACACAGUGAUUACAUUGAUGCAAAGAGAGAGACACUUUCUAACUGGAUGAGGAGCAGAGCUCUUGGUCUGGUAUGGGGACGAAUACGCCAGACAUCUGGGAAUCGGAUUGAUCGACUGUGGAACAACAAGAGCUCUACUAAAGGUCUUGCCUUCAAGUCUGUCUUUCUGUCAGGGUUUGGUUUCUAUGCGGCACUUCAUGACCACAUCUCUCAUUUUAAUACAAAAGAGCUUGGACAAUAAAAAUCUACAUUAACAAAGCAGUCAAGAAAUUAUACAGGAAAUAGUAAAGUUUUAACAUAAAUUUAAAUAUAAUAAACAAAAGAUGACAACAUAAUAGGAAAUAUAUUCUUACUUGGAAAAAUGUCUAAAUAAAAAUAUACAGUACCAUGGAGGUUUCAAAAAAACAAUCCAAUCA